CAGUCGACGGACCUUUCGGGGUUAGUGGCGGACGGGUGAGUAACACGUGGGAACGUGCCUUUAGGUUCGGAAUAAGCUCGGGAAACUGGGUCUAAUACCGAAUGUGCCCUUCGGGGGAAAGAUUUAUCGCCUUUAGAGCGGCCCGCGUCUGAUUAGCUAGUUGGUAGUGUAAUGGACUACCAAGGCGACGAUCAGUAGCUGGUCUGAGAGGAUGACCAGCCACAUUGGGACUGAGACACGGCCCAAACUCCUACGGGAGGCAGCAGUGGGGAAUCUUGCGCAAUGGGCGAAAGCCUGACGCAGCCAUGCCGCGUGUAUGAUGAAGGUCUUAGGAUUGUAAAAUACUUUCACCGGUGAAGAUAAUGACUGUAGCCGGAGAAGAAGCCCCGGCUAACUUCGUGCCAGCAGCCGCGGUAAUACGAAGGGGGCUAGCGUUGCUCGGAAUUACUGGGCGUAAAGGGAGCGUAGGCGGACAUUUAAGUCAGGGGUGAAAUCCCAGAGCUCAACUCUGGAACUGCCUUUGAUACUGGGUGUCUUGAGUGUGAUAGAGGUAUGUGGAACUCCGAGUGUAGAGGUGAAAUUCGUAGAUAUUCGGAAGAACACCAGUGGCGAAGGCGACAUACUGGAUCAUUACUGACGCUGAGGCUCGAAAGCGUGGGGAGCAAACAGGAUUAGAUACCCUGGUAGUCCACGCCGUAAACGAUGAUUGCUAGUUGUCGGGGAGUUUACUUCUCGGUGACGCAGCUAACGCAUUAAGCAAUCCGCCUGGGGAGUACGGUCGCAAGAUUAAAACUCAAAGGAAUUG
RNAcentral lists this ribosomal RNA (805 nucleotides) under Brevundimonas variabilis. Its description in RNAcentral is "bacterial SSU rRNA". It matches the Rfam family "Bacterial small subunit ribosomal RNA", at positions 59 to 912 of the family's 1533-position model. The record is from RNAcentral. Lineage: Bacteria; Pseudomonadati; Pseudomonadota; Alphaproteobacteria; Caulobacterales; Caulobacteraceae.